Molecule: non-coding RNA, 124 nt
Organism: Triticum aestivum (bread wheat)
Lineage: Eukaryota; Viridiplantae; Streptophyta; Magnoliopsida; Poales; Poaceae
Source: Rfam
UAUAUACUCCCUCUGUCUGGAAAUACUUGUCCCCGAAAUGGUCGUAUCUAGACUUAUUUUAGUUAUAGAUACAUCCAUUUUAUCCAUUUCUAGGACAAGUAUUUCCGGACGAAGGGAGUACUAG